This 459-nucleotide ribosomal RNA is filed under the name uncultured bacterium. Its description in RNAcentral is "partial 16S ribosomal RNA". It matches the Rfam family "Bacterial small subunit ribosomal RNA", at positions 338 to 795 of the family's 1533-position model. The record is from RNAcentral.
CCUACGGGCGGCAGCAGUGAGGAAUAUUGGUCAAUGGACGAGAGUCUGAACCAGCCAAGUAGCGUGAAGGAUGACUGCCCUAUGGGUUGUAAACUUCUUUUAUAUGGGAAUAAAAUGUUCCACGUGUGGGAUUUUGUAUGUACCAUAUGAAUAAGGAUCGGCUAACUCCGUGCCAGCAGCCGCGGUAAUACGGAGGAUCCGAGCGUUAUCCGGAUUUAUUGGGUUAAAGGGGAGCGUAGGUGGAUUGUAAGUCAGUUGUGAAAGUUUGCGGCUCAACCGUAAAAUUGCAGUUGAAACUGGCAGUCUUGAGUACAGUAGAGGUGGGCGGAAUUCGUGGUGUAGCGGUGAAAUGCUUAGAUAUCACGAAGAACUCCGAUUGCGAAGGCAGUUCACUGGACUGCAACUGACACUGAGGCUCGAAAGUGUGGGUAUCAAACAGGAUUAGAUACCCCAGUAGUC